CGGAUCCCAUUAUGCCGAUCGCCUCGACCUCCACUUCGCGGCUCUUCGAAGCGGCGCAGACGCCGCUUUUGGCGUGGUGUUGCCUGCCUGCUUUCUCCUGCAUCCGUGCACGCACCGCACUGAAUCAAGCCGCCCCCUCCCCCCUCCUCGGCCUCCGGCCGCUGCUUGCAUCGUCUUUGUGCACGUUUUCUUUGGUUUGUUGAGCCCCGCGAACCAAACUUUCACCGGCUCUCUCUCUCUCCUCCUCUUCGCCUCCCCGCCCUUCCAAGCCUCCCACACCUUUCCGUGUGCCUUCUUCAACUGCCAUCCACAUAAGCGACUUUCAACCGGCUCGGUGCCUCUCUGCCAGUUACAGAUGUAUGUGUGUAUUCGAUGGUGAAACGAGGGAGGAGGGAAGGGCGCGUACUGGGCAUGGGAUGCCGGAUGCCGAACUCUCGCCCACUUGCGCGCUCUCCUCAUUGCCGUCUCCUCUCCUUUCCUCCUGAAGCGAGCACGUGCGUGCGCGACAGUCCCUGCGCGAGUCUUUGCUUGCCGCGAAAUCUUCUUAUUCUUUGUGUGCCGAUCGUGGUGCCCCUCACUCGAGGCAUAACCCUGCCACGAUAUCAGGGGAAAGGACCGAGAGUUCUAUGUUCAAUCGAGGCGCAGUGUGUAUUCGACCUGUCAGUGUCACUUGCAGUUUCCAUCCACUGUGCGAAAGUGCCCCUGCCACCGUAGUGGACCUCAUGGGCGGCCCCUUCUCUCUCUCCCUCUCCCGUGAUGUUCAUUGUCCUAGCCUCCAGAGGAAGGCCCCGCUC
This 794-nucleotide unclassified non-coding RNA is filed under the name Leishmania donovani. Its description in RNAcentral is "gene:unknown". The record is from RNAcentral. Lineage: Eukaryota; Euglenozoa; Kinetoplastea; Trypanosomatida; Trypanosomatidae.